GAAGACUUAUUACAAAAUAAAAGUAAUAAACAUGAAACGAACUAAGGAUCGUUGGCGCCAAUGUCGACUGAGAAACGCCUCCUAGAUCAGAUCGAACUCCUCAGCGUUAGGCAGCUCCUCCUGAACCACCUGCUCUUCUCCUGUGGGGGGGGGUGUGAGACAGCAAGAGUGAGCUCACAUACGUUCAUAGCUCAACAAGUCGUGGGGAAUAAUGUGGCAUGAACUCACCAAAGGUGGGAGUUCAUGUAGUGUAAGGCUAAUCAAUGGAAUAAAGGCUGAGGCUGAGCAUUGCUUUUAUAAGUUGGUCAAAAUUUUAUUAGCAAUUACUAAGUGUAAGUAAAUACCAAACCUUAAUAAUAAUAAAGAACAAUAAUAGUAAAAUAAUCCCAAAUGCGAUGCAAAUGUCAAAUUGAAUUUAAGUUCCAUAAUUAAUCAUGUGAGGGUCCGAGCCGCUCUUGACCGUGAGCACGGCUAGUAUACCAGUUUUACACUCUGCAGAGGUUGUACCCUUUACCCACAAGUCGUGUUUCCCAUGUCGCCAGGGUUAGCUAGGCCCUUAGACACUACCAAGGUGAAUGGCUAGGGAUCCACUACGAGGCCUUUACAAAGUUCCACUAGCUUCCGAAAACCCGCUACAGUUUAUGGGAAGAUCCAGUACAGGGUUCCUGGCUGACCGCCAUCGCAGCAAAAUCAACCAGGGACCUCCCCGCACUGACCUCUCCCCUACUGCCCUUGCCCCUUUCGGGUAAGGUAGUCUUCCACUAGCUUUCCUAGUUAAUCAGCCAAGGGCGUCCCAUUAAACCCUUGUGGUGGCACUGUUUUCCCGGGUGGUUCUCCAUGUUCCCAUUAACAUAAUGAUCUUAUCAUGAACAUAAAAUAAUGAACAGAUAAUAGAAAGUGUAGUCAUGAGUCAUAAAUAUCUUUAUACCCAAAUCCACAUAAAGCAAUAGCAUGUACUACCCAAAAAUUUAGUAGUAAAACGAGUGGUGAAACAAGGUAUAAAGAUAGUCAAAAUCUAGGGUAUCAUAUUGGGUCCCAUCAAAAUUAACCUAUGCAGAUCAUUAUGAAUAAUAAGAACAUGAAUAGGUAAAAGAAGUGAUCAAGGGCACAACUUGCCUUCAACGAGCUCCUGCUCAGCUAUCUCUACUUGUUGAAGCUCAGGUUCCACAGUGGGUUGCUCGUCUACUCGCAUCAACACAAUACAUACAUAGUAUAGCCAAAAUCAACAUCACACCAAACAGAUGAAUGAAAUAUACAGUAAAAAUCUACACAUUAAAAUGAAACCAUAGGAACUGGAAUCACUGAAUUCGGAGUUAUAGAAUUCAAGUUAUGAAUUUCCUAAGAUUUAAGGUGAUUAUAGUAGGAUUAAAUGUUAAAUUAAUGUUCUUACUGUUUUUAUGCCAAAACAGAGACACUAAAUGGUAGAGAAUAAUUGUACAAAAUUGCAGAAAUUGGAAUGGUUCAAUUUGAAGUUAAAAUGAAUUUUCUAUGCAUUUUACAAGUUUCUAGAUUUGUUUUUGUAUUAAAAAUGAAUUUUAAUAUUAAUUUCUCUGUUUUUAAUAUUCCCAGGACUGGGCCCCAAUUUCCAGAAAGCACAGGGGUCUGCGCGAAUAAAAUCCUAGACUCAGUGUACAGUGAUAGGUGGACGGCGGGUUCUAUUUCAUAAUUCUGCGGGGGCUCUUUAGAAAAACUGCCCCGCGAAGGGGUAUCCUUAGAUGUGGGCCGUUGGAUCACCAGUGUGCGGCCCAGAUUAGAUCCACACACGGCCGAAACGGUACAUAAUCUACACCGUCGGAUCUGCGUUCAACGGUCGCGAUUUAAUUAUGCUAAAUCUAACCCCAUCCAUUAGAUCUGAGAUCGACGGUACCCGAGCUACGUGACGAAGGGGUAUCUCUCUUCUAAUCAGAGCCGUUCACUGGGAGAUCUACGGUUCCCUCCACUUCGCCCCUACAUCUAACCAUGGCCGUUAGAUAUGCGAUCAACGGUCGACGCAGCGUCCCCUUCCUCGAGCCAAGGCACGACGGUGCUCCCUCGCACGGCGGAGAGCCCGCCGGGAUUUCGAAUCCGGCCGGCCCGAGCACCAAACAGCAAUUAAAUCGCGCCACGCAAAGUAGACGCCUCCCUAAACUCGAUCCCCCAAUCAAUUUUAGCCGACUCCGAGUGUCCGACUCGGUACGCGGCGCACAGCGGCGGCGCCAUGGCCGGAUAGCGGACCCAGGGGGUAAAACUACACCAUACUUCAAUUCGAUAGCGCAUAGCCUAAAGGAAGGGAUGAUGGAUACGAUGGCGACUCACCAGUGGCCAGCCGAGGUAAGGUGAUGCCCGUCCACGAAGCUUGGCGGUCCGGCGGGGAUUUUCCGCCACGGUAAGCAAUUGACGAGCAAUCGACGCCCCUUCGCGGAAGAAGACGCCACACCCACGAUCGUGCGAUCUUCCCUGACCACCUCCCGCUUCCAAUCGACAGCAGGAUCCGGUAAACCGUGGCGAAUCGAGCACGGCCGCGAGCCCUCUUCUCUCACCCACGAUUUUGUGUUACACGUGCUCUGGUCACUACGGCGAGGCGAGUAGGGAAGAGGUGGUGGUCACGAGAACCCCUUUAAUCCUCUGGAGUCCAAGUCGGGCAGAGGAGAAGAGGUUGUGGCCCGCCAUUGUCGCGCGGGUGGUUGCACGCGCCCGCGCGGAGCUCGGCGAAGCUGUUAGCACACGACCCGGCGCGUCGGUCCCACGUGUAAGCGACACCAUGCGGCGUGUGGAUGAGGAGUGGGCCCGGCUUGUCAAUCAUACACGGUCAGCGCGCCAUCGCACUACCGUUACUGGCAGAGGGGCCCCGCGGAGCAGUGACCAAGGACGCGCGAGCGGAGAAGGCUGGGCGAGGCGCGGCGCAAGGGGGACUGACAGGUGGGGUAGGGGUGUCGGCGCCAAGGAUAGCUUGGGCUGCGCGGUGAGGCUUCCCUGGGUGGGCCGAAUUGGAGUCUGCCGGCCCAGGUAAGGUUUUCUCCUUUUUCUUUUUAUUUUUCUGUUUUCUUUCUUCAUUUUCAAACCAAAUUUGACUUAGUUCAAACUUUUGUGGAUCCUCUUUCAUAAACUCUAUUUUUGCAUCUAAAAAUAGUAAGCCUGAAGAUAUUUGUGUAUACAUUUUAUUUAUUUUUCCAUAUCUCUUCUCUUUUCCUUAUUUUCAAAACUCUAAUUUCAAACUUAGGGUUUAAUCAAACUUCAAAUAAUUAUUACCUUAUUAUUUUAUCCUCAUGGUUUUAUUUAAUGCACAACACAUAAAACUCCAACAAAUGCACUUUUUUCUUUAUUUUAGCAUAAUUGUUUUAUUUAGACACUCUCAAUUACAUAGGUGCUCUUUUUAUGAUGCAAAUGAAACACACAAAACGAGGAAUUCUCUUUAUUACACUUGGUAUACAACUUGAGUACUACAAAUCCUACCCCCCUUAAAAAUAAUCUCGUCCUCGAGAUUUAAGAAGAUCUAGGGAAAAGGUGGGGAAAAUCUAUACGAAGCUCUUCUUCUCUUUCCCAAGUUGCUUCAUCUUCACCAUGGUGGCUCCAUUGCACUUUGCACAUCUUUAUAACCUUAUUCCUCGUAACUCGAGUCAGAGUAUCCAAAAUCUUGAUGGGGUACUCAGCAUAAGUCAAGUCCUCUUGAACACUAAGGUCUUCCAUUGGUAACUGUUCUUCAGGCACCCUGAGACAUUUCUUCAGCUGAGAUACAUGAAAGACAUCAUGAACAUCCGCAAGAUGAUCCGGUAACUCCAAUUGAUAUGCAACCUCUCCCACUCGCUUUAAGAUCAAGAAGGGUCCAAUAAAGCGAGGGGACAACUUUCCUUUAACUUUAAAUCUCCUCAUGCCCCGGAGUGGUGACACCUUCAAAUAGACAUGAUCACCCUCCUUAAACUCCAGUAGUCUUCUCCUAUUAUCAGCAUAGCUCUUUUGUCUUGAUUGUGCAAUUCUCAAAUUCUCCCUUAUCAUUCGAACUUGUUCCUCUGCCUCUUGAAUAAGUUCAGGCCCAAAGAACUGUCUUUCUCCAGUUUGAUCCCAAUACAGUGGUGUCCUGCAUUUUCUACCAUAUAGAGCUUCAAAUGGUGACAUCUUCAAACUGGCCUGAUAGCUAUUGUUAUAAGAAAACUCAGCAUAGGGUAAGCUCUUCUCCCAACUGCCACCAUGCUUGAGAGCACAAGCUCUUAACAUAUCUUCCAGCACUUGAUUAGUUCUCUCUGUCUGUCCAUCAGUCUGGGGAUGGUAGGCUGAGCUAAAAUUCAACUUUGUAUCCAAGCUCUCAUGCAACUUCUUCCAAAAUCGAGAAGUAAACUGUGAUCCUCGAUCAGACACGAUCUUUUUAGGUACUCCAUGUAAACAAACUAUCCGAGUCAUAUACAAUUCUGCUAGCUUGGCUCCCGUGUAAUUAGUCCUCACCGGUAUAAAAUGAGCCACUUUUGUCAAUCUGUCCACAAUUACCCAAAUAGAGUCAUAUCCUGCUGGAGUGCGGGGUAGUCCAACAAUAAAAUCCAUACCAAUUUCUUCCCAUUUCCACUCAGGUAUCUUCAAUGGGUGCAAUAAUCCAGCGGGUCUUUGAUGUUCGGCCUUGACUCUUUGACAUACAUCACACUUAGCCACAUGUGCAGCAACAUCUCUUUUCAGUCCAUACCACCAAUACUUUUGCUUCAAAUCUUGAUACAUCUUAGUGCUACCAGGGUGGAUAGAAUAAUUAGAAUCAUGGGCUUCUUUCAAUAUAGUCUCACGGAGGCUAUCAAUCUCUGGAACACAUAUCCGAUCUUUGAACCAUAUAGUACCUUGCUCAUCCUCCGUGAAUUCCGGAACUCGACCUUCCGUGAUUAGAUCCUUAAUCUCUUGAAUCUUAGCAUCACCAACCUGACCUUUACGAAUCUCUUGCUCCAAGGUAGGUUCCAACUCAAUGGUGACUCCUUCAGUGUGAGUAACAAUUCCCAGGUUGAGCUUCUCAAAAUCUUUUGCCAAUUCAUCGGGUAGUUGGACAACGAAAGCGGAGUGCACAUGCUCCUUCCGACUCAAGGCAUCUGCAACCAAAUUCGCCUUGCCCGGAUGAUAGUGAAUCUCCAAAUCAUAAUCCUUAAUGAGUUCCAACCAACGGCGUUGCCUAAGGUUGAGAUCCUUCUGAGUGAAUAUAUACUUCAAACUCUUAUGGUCCGUGUAUACUUGGCACUUAGUUCCCAUAAUGUAGUGUCUCCAAAUCUUAAGUGCAUGCACAACCGCUGCCAAUUCCAAGUCAUGAGUGGGGUAGUUCAAUUCAUGUUUCCGCAACUGACGAGAUGCAUAGGCAAUCACAUGGCCUUCUUGCAUAAGCACACAUCCAAGUCCUUGGCCACAUGCAUCACAGUAAAUAUCAAAUCCCUUCUGCAGAUCUGGCAUAAUCAAUAUUGGAGGUGACAUCAAUCUCUCCUUCAAUUGAUCAAAACUCUCUUGGCAUUUCUCAUCCCACUUGAAUUCUUUCCCUUUCUCCAAAAGCGAUGUCAUGGGCUUAGCAAUCUUAGAAAAUCCUUCAAUAAAUCUCCGAUAAUAUCCUGCGAGUCCCAAGAAACUCCGAAUCUCAGUAACUGUAGUGGGCACUCUCCACUCCAUUAUCUCCUUCACUUUAGCAGGAUCCACUGCUAUUCCUCCAUUAGAAAUAAUAUGACCAAGGAAUGGCACCUUGUCAAUCCAAAACUCGCACUUGCUGAACUUAGCAUAGAGUUGAUUAUCUCGUAACUUCUGUAGCACCAACCUUAGAUGUUGUUCAUGAUCACUUUCAUUCUUAGAAUAGAUAAGAAUAUCGUCGAUAAACACCACGACGAAUCUGUCCAAAAACUCCAUAAACACUUUGUUCAUCAAAUUCAUGAAAUAAGCUGGUGCAUUGGUUAAUCCAAAUGACAUAACAGUAAACUCAUAUAAUCCAUAUCGAGUUGAGAAAGCCGUCUUGGGAAUAUCCGAUGGUCUAAUCCUCAUCUGAUGGUAACCCGAUCGGAGAUCAAUCUUCGAGAAUACCCUGGCUCCUCUCAUCUGAUCAAAUAAAUCCUCAAUACGGGGCAACGGGUACUUGUUCUUCACUGUAACAUCAUUAAGAGAUCUAUAAUCCACACACAUCCGCUGUGAUCCAUCCUUCUUCUGCACAAAUAACACCGGUGCUCCCCAAGGUGAGGAACUCGGACGAAUGUAACCGGCCUCUUGUAACUCCGUCAACUGCUUCUUCAGUUCCUUCAACUCCUCUACGGACAUUCUAUAUGGCCGUUUAGAAAUAGGGGCGGUUCCAGGUAAGAGAUCAAUAACAAACUCAACUUCUCUAUCAGGUGGCAUCCCUGGUAACUCCUCUGGAAAGACAUCCGGAAAAUCUCUGACCACCCGGAUGUUGUCACCAACAAACUCCUCAGGCAUAAAGAACAUUGCACGCAUGGAUGAGGAGGUUACUGCAAUAUUAACUUGAAAUCUUUCUCCUUUAGUGGUAGUGAGCUCUACGGUACCUCUACCACAUGCUAUAACGGCCUUUGCCUUUCUUAGCCAUGACAUACCAAGGAUCAGAUCUAUACUGCUUGACUCUAAUAUUAUAGCAGUAGCUCCAAAUUCUCUACCCAUAAUGGUUAAUGUCAAUCUACGUGUCAUUUGAUUCGCCUCAACAGGCCCUUUAGGUGUAAUUACUAUCAGGGGUUUUCUCAUAUUUAGUAGUGGUAUUUCAUUUGUGUUGGCAUAUCGAGCAGACAUGAAUGAAUGUGUAGCACCAGAAUCAAAUAAUAUGGUUGCAGGAAUUGUAUUAACAUAAAACAUACCAAUUACGAGGUCCCCACCAUCAGGAGUAUCAUCAACGCUGACUUGAUU
Molecule: long non-coding RNA, 6825 nt
Filed under: Zea mays
Lineage: Eukaryota; Viridiplantae; Streptophyta; Magnoliopsida; Poales; Poaceae
Description: long non-coding RNA (ZMAY_LNC001129)
Source: RNAcentral